RNAcentral lists this long non-coding RNA (903 nucleotides) under Monodelphis domestica (gray short-tailed opossum). Its description in RNAcentral is "lncRNA (ENSMODG00000046224.1)". Lineage: Eukaryota; Metazoa; Chordata; Mammalia; Didelphimorphia; Didelphidae. The record is from RNAcentral.
UUUAUAAAACCUCAAAAUAUAUGUAAAUAAUAAAAUAAAUGUAAUGCUACUACUUAACAGAUUUUCACCUAUUGCAGUGGUCUCUGGAAUGUAACUCCCAUGAUAGGUGAGGGAUCACUUUCUCCUACACAAAUCUGACAGUAUGUCAUUGGGACCUCCCCUGGCAAACAAAAGAACUUUGAUUGGUAGAUGAGUUGGCUUUAAGGGGUGUCUGAUUACACUCUCCUCUGAUACUCAAGGAAUACCAGUUGCUUCACAAGAGAUGGACUCCCUGCAGCAGUCUUGGCUCAACCAGGUUUUGACUGACUUGGUUUUCCUUUUGUAGACCAGAUCACCACAAACUUUGGUAAAGGAAAAGCAAGGAUGCAAAAGUCAUCUUUUGGAGAGAACCUUAGCUCAAACUGACUUCUGUGUAUGAGAUUAAAAAAAAUUGGCAGAUGGCACAAAUCUGAAAGGAUUUUCAAAUAUACCGUAUAAUGGAUUUGGGAUCCAAAAGAAUCUCAAAGAGAGAGAGCAUUGGCUGAAUCCAGAGAUGAAAUUCACAAGGGAUCGAUGUAAAGCUUUCCAGUGGCAAAGAACUCAAAACCAAGAUGAGGUUAGCCCAUUGUUAAGACAGCAGGCCAAGAAAACACUCUGCAAGUCGACAGACGUUCUUCACGGACUAUGUUCCCUUGAGGGAAACAGCCUGGAGAUUUUGUAUGGUGGGUCCUGGGGAUGAAAUACUAAGAUUUUCUCAGUGCUGAAAUGGUUCUAUUGGUGAGCUAGUCAGGAACAUUUGAAAUGUUUUCACCCCACCGGGGUCACAUUCAAUGGGAAUGUGAAGAUCCCAUUUGAAGCUGCUUGCCACCAAGCUGUUGAUGAACUAGCAUAGAUGCUCUCAAGUUUACUGAUCUAUUAAUAAUC